Molecule: ribosomal RNA, 446 nt
Filed under: uncultured bacterium
Lineage: Bacteria
Description: partial 16S ribosomal RNA
Rfam family: Bacterial small subunit ribosomal RNA
Source: RNAcentral
CCUACGGGGGGCAGCAGUCGAGAAUCAUUCACAAUGGGGGAAACCCUGAUGGUGCGACGCCGCGUGGGGGAAUGAAGGUCUUCGGAUUGUAAACCUCUGUCAUGUGGGAGCAAAUUAAAAAGAUAGUACCACAAGAGGAAGAGACGGCUAACUCUGUGCCAGCAGCCGCGGUAAUACAGAGGUGUCAAGCGUUGUUCGGAAUCACUGGGCGUAAAGGGGGCGUAGGCUGUUUCGUAAGUCGUGUGUGAAAGGCGCGGGCUCAACCCGCGGACGGCACAUGAUACUGCGAGACUAGAGUAAUGGAGGGGGAACCGGAAUUCUCGGUGUAGCAGUGAAAUGCGUAGAUAUCGAGAGGAACACUCGUGGCGAAGGCGGGUUCCUGGACAUUAACUGACGCUGAGGCACGAAGGCCAGGGGAGCGAAAGGGAUUAGAUACCCCUGUAGUC